UACGUAGGUGGCGAGCGUUGUCCGGAAUCACUGGGCGUAAAGGGCGCGUAGGCGGUUUCUUAAGUCGGGUGUGAAAUCUUUGGGCUCAACCUAAAGUUUGCAUUCGAUACUGGGGGACUUGAGUGCAGGAGAGGGCAGUGGAAUUCCUAGUGUAGCGGUGAAAUGCGUAGAUAUUAGGAGGAACACCAGUGGCGAAGGCGGCUGCCUGGACUGUAACUGACGCUGAGGCGCGAAAGCGUGGGGAGCAAAC
This 250-nucleotide ribosomal RNA is filed under the name uncultured bacterium. Its description in RNAcentral is "partial 16S ribosomal RNA". It matches the Rfam family "Bacterial small subunit ribosomal RNA", at positions 524 to 773 of the family's 1533-position model. The record is from RNAcentral. RNAcentral also lists the same sequence under 1 other name.